Molecule: long non-coding RNA, 882 nt
Filed under: Gallus gallus (chicken)
Lineage: Eukaryota; Metazoa; Chordata; Aves; Galliformes; Phasianidae
Description: lncRNA (ENSGALG00010007024.1)
Source: RNAcentral
UGGAAAUAACAGAAAUAAUAAUGGAAAUAACGGAAAUAAUAACGGAAAUAACGCAAAUACGGAAAUAACCUCCUCAGACACAGAAACAUACGGCAGAAUAUUAAGUGACAGGUCAAGAACAACAACGGAAGUAACGGAAAUAAUGGAAAUAACGGAAAUUACCUCCACAGAGACAGAAACUUACGGCAGAAAAUUAGGCGACAGGUCAAGAACAACAACGGAAAUAACGGAAAGAACGGAAAGAACGGAAAUAACCACCGAAAAACAGAAACAUACGGCCGAAAAUUAGGAGACAGGUCUAGAACAACAACGGAAAUAACAGAAAUAACGGAAAUAACAAAAAUAACAGAAAUAACGAAAAGAACGGAAAGAACAGAAAGUACGGAAAGAAUAGAAAGAACGGAAAAUACGGAAAUAAUAACGGAAAAAAACGGAAAUAACCUCUAAAGGGACAGAAACAUACAGCAAAAAAUUAGGUGACAGGUCAAGAAUAACAACGGAAAGAACGGAAAGAACGGAAAUAAUAACGGAAAUAACGGAAAUAACCUCCAGAGACAGAAACAUACAACAGAAAAUUAACUGACAGGUCAAGAAAAACAAUGGAAAUAACAGAAAAAACUGGAAUAAUGGAAAUAAUAAUGGAAAUAACUGAAAAAAAUAAGGGAAAAAAUAACAGAAAUAACGGAAAUAACGCAAAGAACCUUCAGAGAGACAGAAACAUACGGCAGAAAAUUAACUGACAGGUCAAGAACAACAACAGAAAUAAGGGAAAUAACGAAAAUAACGGAAAUAAUAACGGUAAUAACAAAAAUAACCUCCACAGAGACAGAAACAUACGGCAGAAAAUUAAAUGAAAGGUCAAGAACUACAAUGGAAAUAACU